This 253-nucleotide unclassified non-coding RNA is filed under the name uncultured Pustularia. RNAcentral's name for it is "sequence contains 5.8S rRNA gene". The stretch from base 1 to 53 matches the Rfam family "5.8S ribosomal RNA", at positions 102 to 154 of the family's 154-position model. Lineage: Eukaryota; Fungi; Ascomycota; Pezizomycetes; Pezizales; Pyronemataceae. The record is from RNAcentral.
GAACGCACAUUGCGCCUUCCGGUAUUCCGGAAGGCAUGCCUGUCCGAGCGUCAUUAAAAACCACUCAAGUAGUUUUGCUUGGUUAUGAAAGAAGAGUUUGCUUGCAAAUUCCCUUUCGAAAUUCAAUGGCGGAGAGUCUCAUGAUUCCAGUGUAGUAAUAACUUAUUCGCUUGGUCAUUGUAACAAUCCUGCCUUAAACCCCCAAUUCUAAUGUUUGACCUCGGAUCAGGUAGGGAUACCCGCUGAACUUAAG